Molecule: ribosomal RNA, 254 nt
Filed under: uncultured bacterium
Lineage: Bacteria
Description: partial 16S ribosomal RNA
Rfam family: Bacterial small subunit ribosomal RNA
Source: RNAcentral
UACGUAGGGUGCAAGCGUUAAUCGGAAUUACUGGGCGUAAAGCGUGCGCAGGCGGUUUUGUAAGUUUGUCGUGAAAGCCCCGGGCUCAACCUGGGAAUUGCGAUGAAGACUGCAAGGCUUGAAUCUGGCAGAGGGGGGUAGAAUUCCACGUGUAGCAGUGAAAUGCGUAGAGAUGUGGAGGAACACCGAUGGCGAAGGCAGCCCCCUGGGUCAAGAUUGACGCUCAUGCACGAAAGCGUGGGGAGCAAACAGGG